UCGAUAACGAACGAGACCUGGCUAUUAAAUAGACGAUAUAUUUAAAGUAUAUCGCGCUUCUUAGAGGGACAAGCGGCGUCUAGCCGCAUGAAAUAGAGCAAUAACAGGUCUGUGAUGCCCUUAGAUGUCCGGGGCUGCACGCGCGCUACACUGAAAGUGUCAGAGUGCGUUUUGCCUAGUUCGGAAGAACCGGGUAACCCAAGUAAAAACUUUCGUGCUUGGGAUAGGGAAUUGCAAUUAUUUCCCUUAAACGAGGAAUUCCCAGUAAAUGCGGGUCAUAAGCUCGCGUUGAUUACGUCCCUGCCCUUUGUACACACCGCCCGUCGCUACUACCGAUUGAAUGGCU
Molecule: ribosomal RNA, 346 nt
Filed under: uncultured eukaryote
Lineage: Eukaryota
Description: SSU rRNA
Rfam family: Eukaryotic small subunit ribosomal RNA
Source: RNAcentral